GAUGAACGCUGGCGGCGUGCCUAAUACAUGCAAGUCGAGCGAACGGACGAGAAGCUUGCUUCUCUGAUGUUAGCGGCGGACGGGUGAGUAACACGUGGAUAACCUACCUAUAAGACUGGGAUAACUUCGGGAAACCGGAGCUAAUACCGGAUAAUAUUUUGAACCGCAUGGUUCAAAAGUAAAAGACGGUCUUGCUGUCACUUAUAGAUGGAUCCGCGCUGCAUUAGCUAGUUGGUAAGGUAACGGCUUACCAAGGCAACGAUGCAUAGCCGACCUGAGAGGGUGAUCGGCCACACUGGAACUGAGACACGGUCCAGGCUCCUACGGGAGGCAGCAGUAGGGAAUCUUCCGCAAUGGGCGAAAGCCUGACGGAGCAACGCCGCGUGAGUGAUGAAGGUCUUCGGAUCGUAAAACUCUGUUAUUAGGGAAGAAUAUAUGUGUAAGUAACUGUGCACAUCUUGACGGUACCUAAUCAGAAAGCCACGGCUAACUACGUGCCAGCAGCCGCGGUAAUACGUAGGUGGCAAGCGUUAUCCGGAAUUAUUGGGCGUAAAGCGCGCGUAGGCGGUUUUUUAGUCUGAUGUGAAAGCCCACGGCUCAACCCGUGGAGGGUCAUUGGAAACUGGAAAACUUGAGUGCAGAAGAGGAAAGUGGAAUUCCAUGUGUAGCGGUGAAAUGCGCAGAGAUAUGGAGGAACACCAGUGGCGAAGGCGACUUUCUGGUCUGUAACUGACGCUGAUGUGCGAAAGCGUGGGGAUCAAACAGGAUUAGAUACCCUGGUAGUCCACGCCGUAAACGAUGAGUGCUAAGUGUUAGGGGGUUUCCGCCCCUUAGUGCUGCAGCUAACGCAUUAAGCACUCCGCCUGGGGAGUACGACCGCAAGGUUGAAACUCAAAGGAAUUGACGGGGACCCGCACAAGCGGUGGAGCAUGUGGUUUAAUUCGAAGCAACGCGAAGAACCUUACCAAAUCUUGACAUCCUUUGACAACUCUAGAGAUAGAGCCUUCCCCUUCGGGGGACAAAGUGACAGGUGGUGCAUGGUUGUCGUCAGCUCGUGUCGUGAGAUGUUGGGUUAAGUCCCGCAACGAGCGCAACCCUUAAGCUUAGUUGCCAUCAUUAAGUUGGGCACUCUAAGUUGACUGCCGGUGACAAACCGGAGGAAGGUGGGGAUGACGUCAAAUCAUCAUGCCCCUUAUGAUUUGGGCUACACACGUGCUACAAUGGACAAUACAAAGGGCAGCGAAACCGCGAGGUCAAGCAAAUCCCAUAAAGUUGUUCUCAGUUCGGAUUGUAGUCUGCAACUCGACUACAUGAAGCUGGAAUCGCUAGUAAUCGUAGAUCAGCAUGCUACGGUGAAUACGUUCCCGGGUCU
RNAcentral lists this ribosomal RNA (1372 nucleotides) under uncultured bacterium. RNAcentral's name for it is "bacterial SSU rRNA". It matches the Rfam family "Bacterial small subunit ribosomal RNA", at positions 28 to 1381 of the family's 1533-position model. The record is from RNAcentral.